GACGAACGCUGGCGGCGUGCUUAAUACAUGCAAGUCGAGCGAGGUUACUGUUUUGGAUCCCUUCGGGGUGAAGAAGCUUUAACCUAGCGGCGGACGGGUGAGUAACGCGUGGGUAACCUACCCCAAAGUCCGGGAUAACAGCGGGAAACCGCUGCUAAUACCGGAUGCCUUUACCUUGGGGCAUCUUGAAGUAAAGAAAGGCAACGCUUUGGGAUGGGCCCGCGUCCCAUUAGCUAGUUGGUGAGGUAACGGCUCACCAAGGCGACGAUGGGUAGCCGGCCUGAGAGGGUGGACGGCCACACUGGGACUGAGACACGGCCCAGACUCCUACGGGAGGCAGCAGUAGGGAAUAUUGCGCAAUGGACGGAAGUCUGACGCAGCGACGCCGCGUGAGCGAUGAAGGUCUUCGGAUCGUAAAGCUCUGUCCUUGGGGAAGAAGGCGAAAGCUUGACGGUACCCAAGAAGAAAGCCCCGGCUAACUACGUG
RNAcentral lists this ribosomal RNA (486 nucleotides) under uncultured bacterium. RNAcentral describes it as "bacterial SSU rRNA". It matches the Rfam family "Bacterial small subunit ribosomal RNA", at positions 28 to 507 of the family's 1533-position model. The record is from RNAcentral.